CCAAGUCACGAGCGAGAUACACGGACCGCACGUCCUCAGCCUCACCUCACGAUUCACAGCAACCAGCAGCCGCUCCUCUUUUCUCUCCCACGCGACGAACCCUAGCCGGCGCCCACCGCUGAGGCCCGAUGCCUCAACCCCCGCGAGCCAUCAGCCCGUGACCGCCGCACCGAGGCGCGCCACGCGCCCCUGCCGGCGCGUGGAGCCGCGCCUAGGACCGGUGAGGCGCUGACGACCAGCAUCAAGCCGCCAAUCGCCGUGCCCCGUCCGUCGCGCCGCGCUGCCAACCUCGACCCUCCCCCAUCGCUUCACCGCUCUUGACGCGGCCAUCCAUGCCGUGCUCCGCCUCGCAAUUCGUCACCACCAUCUAAUCUGCAGUUUCUCACCACCUCGUCCUCUUCCACGUUGGUCGCCGGCUCGGUGCCUACUGUCCUCUUCCCAUGCUUCAUCUCACAACUGAAGGUAAGCCAGCUUCAUCUCUGAUCUCUCUAUGUGCAUCAAACUAAUGAUGAAAAGUUUGGUCAGAGAAGACAAAGAAGAAAGAUAGAACAACGAGGAUAGUGAUGGUCAAGUUGUAUAAGUGGCGUCAUUGGGAUUAAAAAUUCUGGAAAGAGGAUGUUAAGUGUGCGGCCAGAAAUCUGUAUAUAUUGUAUGGCUUGGUCAUGGUUAACCUCAUUUGAUUAACGAAAAAGGCUUUCGCCCCGCUAUAUUGAUAUAGCAACCGCC
This 726-nucleotide ribosomal RNA is filed under the name Triticum aestivum (bread wheat). Its description in RNAcentral is "partial small subunit ribosomal RNA". The record is from RNAcentral. Lineage: Eukaryota; Viridiplantae; Streptophyta; Magnoliopsida; Poales; Poaceae.